RNAcentral lists this ribosomal RNA (442 nucleotides) under uncultured bacterium. RNAcentral's name for it is "partial 16S ribosomal RNA". It matches the Rfam family "Bacterial small subunit ribosomal RNA", at positions 338 to 795 of the family's 1533-position model. The record is from RNAcentral.
CCUACGGGAGGCAGCAGUGGGGAAUAUUGGGCAAUGGGCGCAAGCCUGACCCAGCAACGCCGCGUGAAGGAAGAAGGCUUUCGGGUUGUAAACUUCUUUUAAGAGGGAAGAGCAGAAGACGGUACCUCUUGAAUAAGCCACGGCUAACUACGUGCCAGCAGCCGCGGUAAUACGUAGGUGGCAAGCGUUGUCCGGAUUUACUGGGGGUAAAGGGCGUGCAGCCGGGAAGACAAGUCAGAUGUGAAAUCCCGCGGCUCAACCGCGGAACUGCAUUUGAAACUGUUUUUCUUGAGUACCGGAGAGGUCAUCGGAAUUCCGUGUGUAGCGGUGAAAUGCGUAGAUAUAAGGAAGAACACCAGUGGCGAAGGCGGAUGACUGGACGGCAACUGACGGUGAGGCGCGAAAGCGUGGGGAGCAAACAGGAUUAGAUACCCUAGUAGUC